UGAAGGCUUAGGAGUUCAUUUGCUUUUCAUCCCAUUUUGGGGAGGGGACUUUCCUAAUGCCUGUUCUGGCACAAGGUCUCUAGGAAACGGGUCUGCCUGAAAGGUGACGGUCAAAAGCAUCAACUACGCUGCACGUGGAGUUUGUAAGCCAGGACUGACUGGGUUCAAUUUCCCAGCAACCCUAAGUGAACCACUUCGCGGCCUCAGUUUUCCCAUCUGCUAAACAACAGGCGGUGGGACCAGAAGGGGCUAACGAUCUCCCCCAGCUUUGUUCUUCCUCGUCUCAUCAACUUGACCUGCAUGGACUUCUUUGUAGUCUUGGGUUGGUCCCUCUGUCCAUAAAUGGCCUUGCCGGGCCUGCCUUCUUAAAGCGUCUUUGAAAUCGUGA
Molecule: long non-coding RNA, 388 nt
Organism: Herpailurus yagouaroundi (jaguarundi)
Lineage: Eukaryota; Metazoa; Chordata; Mammalia; Carnivora; Felidae
Exons: 2
Source: RefSeq, a predicted model, not a curated record